UUUGUCAUGUGGUCCACACUCCUUACCAGUUGGUGGCGGUAAUGCUUACCUAAAGUUUCUUGCCAACCGCCAUUAAAUUUCAACUAGAAGAAGAAGAAGUUCAUUUUCAGCAACAAGACGAUCGAGGCUAGUUCUCUCAAGCUAACAUGCUAAUUUGUUGACAUUCUUAACAGCUAUUUGUUAAAGGAAGCCAGAAUGGAGCUACAAAGAGGUGAAAGCCAUACCCUACCCAGACCAGAUGGGCCCGUACUGACCAAAGGAACACUGGACGACACAGAGUACAAGGACAGGCCUGCAGUGGUGAACGGAUGGGGAAAGUUUUAUCUUCCCAAAACAACAAAGAUGGAGGUUAUUGGCUAUGUGGAGGGAACUUCGUACCCAUGUGACCAGCUUGUCYUGAUGACCUGUGAGGACCAGAAGGUGUAYGGCUUUGAUGGAGAGGAGCUGCAUCUGGUGRCUUUCAGGCUGCAUGAGAUGUUCACAGUGGGAAUAGCCGAUCCAGCACUCCAGAGUUAUUACCGUGGRGAGGCCUUCAAARACAUGGUGAGUGAUUGACUUUGAAUGUGUGAACAUUUAUYCUGAAUGCCAGUCUGGRAUCCCUAACAAUAUGUUUUAUGCUCAGACCAAAGAGGACUGGGAGAAGGUGAAGAAGGGCCCUGUGGGGACGAUGCUGAAUGAGGAGCAUCGUCAACUGGUGGCUUCUCACAAAUCUGCCAUCCUGCAGAGUCUCAGACAAAUACAGGAAUCAUGAGCCGAAUGAGAAGUUCCACCGCAACACCAUGACUGAGAUGUUGAUAAGUGGAAUGUGACAAGGUCUUGCCACUUGUGUGUCUAAAAAAAGUACUUCAAGUUAUUUUGUUUUGGUUGUUCAUCGGUAAGGACAAAAGAAUGAGGAUGGAAUUAGAAAAACCCUGCAGAAAGUUGUCAAAAAAUUGACAGAAAUUAAAGAGUCCACCAUCCAUGUCUCUGAUGGCAACAACAAACAUUCACUUCUUUAUCUGAAAGCACAAGAGAAUGAGGAUGAAAUUACAAAAACCCUGCAGAAAUUAGUUGAAGAGUUGAUGGGAAAGACUGCUCAUAAAGAGACCCAAAUCUGCGUCUCUCAUGGCAACAACACACCUUCAGUUGAUCGUCUGGAAGGAAAAGAGAGUAAGGAAGAAAUUAUAACAACCCUGCAGAAACAUGUCAAAGAGUUGAUGAAAAAUACUUCUAACGAUGCGUCAUAUUCCACCAUCUAUGUCUCUCAUGGAAACUGCACAGUUUCAUCUCACCAAAGACAAACCAACCUCUUGCAGACACUCGUCAAAGAGUUGAUGAUAAAGACUCUUCCAAAAGUGUUGUACUCCACCACCAUCUGUGUCUCUCAUGGCAAAAACAGUUAAAGUUGAUCGUCUGGAAGGAAAAGAGAGUGAGGAAGAAAUUAGAAAAAAACUGCAGGAACUCAGCGAAGAAUCAAAAAAUGGAUGCAUGGAUGGAUGCAAACAAUCGAAGCACGUAGAUUCACACAAAGAUAAACAAAUGACGGUAACAUGCUGAACAAUAUUGAGUCAUUUAUAACUAAUGUUCAACUGAGUGUCUUCAGAAAAUGCGCAUGUUGUGUUUGAGUAAUAAAAAUACAGCAGGCUGUGUGUUUUAAAUGUC
Molecule: non-coding RNA, 1641 nt
Organism: Poecilia reticulata (guppy)
Lineage: Eukaryota; Metazoa; Chordata; Actinopteri; Cyprinodontiformes; Poeciliidae
Source: RefSeq, a predicted model, not a curated record